UUAUAUAUUGUCAUCAUAAUCCCCAUAGCCUUGUCCCUGUUAUUUGGGGUCAGCUUUACAAAUCCCAUUUCACGAAUCAAUCUUAAUGCCUUAUCCAUUGCUAUGUAAACAAGCCUUCACAUCCUCAUUUUACAAAUCUUGUUAACCUACGGAGGAGAGGUCCUUGAGUAGGAAUGACUGGUGAAACAGGUCAUAAAAUGACACAAAAUAGCUGGGAUGAGGCUAUGAUGAUGAUGACAUUGAUGAUUAAUUAGCUAUUGCAUGUUACUUUAGGGUGCAUUGGUUUUUAAUUUGGUGAAAAUUUUCAUGAUAUGUCAUGAGAUGUGGUGCAUCCAAACACCCCCUUAGUCAAAUUACUACAUAUUGCAGUUUUAAUCAAUUUAUUUGGCCAUUAUAUUUUCAGGUAUGUAUGCUACCAAAGAUCAAGAUCAUUUCCCAUGAGCUAAAAACCAAAAUGGUUACAUGAUGCUAAUGCUUCAUUGAAAGACUAUAAUGCAGUGAACAUAAGUUUGUCUUCUCAUGAUUGGUGGCCGUUUCUCUAAAUCGUUACUUAAAGAUUUAGUGGAACUCAUUAUAAAGUUGGCAUAUAAGCUAGGAGAGCUUGUAAAGCCCAUUUACUCAUGGUUGAAGUGGGAAAAGUACUAAUGUGAUGCACCAAGAUAGAAGAAUAGAGCAGUUUCCAGGUCUCAAUACCUCUGCAAAUAUGACAAUGCCAUUAAUUAAUCAAUCUAAAUAUAUCUUAUGCAUCUAUCCUACUAAAUUCCACAAUUGCCUCACCCUGUUAUUCUGGAUAGUGAUGCAUGAGAGGGAAGAAGUAGAACACCAUGAGGUGUACCACUAACACUAGCAGCUGUACCUUUUGAAAGUAUCACACAUGUGUGAGUGUCUGUGUGUGUGUGUGCGUAUGUGCGUGCAUGUGUCAUAUAUGCACGCACACAUAGCAUGCAUAUCCAUAUAUACAUAUCCAUGUAAAUAUACAUAUUUACAUGUUUGCAUGUUAUAUAAGGAAAUGCUGUAGUGGUAAUGUUACCACUGAAGUUACGUAGGUAAUGGUUGAAAAUGAGCUCCACAAGGUGUGUAUGACAUUGGACCCGUGCAUUAGGUGCAUCCAACCCUCCUCCCCAUACAAGAAGGCCAAUCCAAGCAUCUAUGCAUCACACAAUGGGAAACAAUGAGGAUGGAUGUCCACAACAGAAUAACCUGAAAUUUAUUAUGGGGUCCCCCGAGGUGUGUAUGUUAUCUAACCCAUGCAUUUGGUGCAUCCUACCAUGAUGAUUAAAUGCCACAAGAAUUAGUCCAAUCCAACCAUCAGGUCAGCAUUUUUACAUUAUUUUCUGUGUAGCCCCCAUCAUGAUGUGGCAAAUGGCUUUGACGGUUUGGAGUAGAAGAAGGGAGGCUUUAGAGGGAGGUGAUAAUUUGCAAAUAUGGGUUGUUGGAUGCGGUUGGUGGGUGAAAGAGUCAUCCUUCUAUAGAACAUCGGGUUUGUGAAGAAGGGUGUGCAAGUUGGCGAACUUAUUCAAGGAAGGGCUUCAAUUCUCCUGUGGUGAUGGGCAAAGAAUCAAGUUUUGGGUUGACUGUUGGAUGGGGGAUAGACCUCUUGAGUAGUUCCUGAGGAGAAAUCUCUCGGAUGAGGAAGCGGUGGAGCUCACCAGGCUUCUGGUGACUUCAUGGGGUUAGGUUGACGGUUGGCAAUAGAGUUGAUGCUUUGGUCCAUGGUCAAAUCAGGCGAUUUAUAGUUCGGUCUUUCUACAAGAUAUUGUCAUUGUGUUCCUCAAGUGGAAGGUGUGAUCAUACUUCUCAUUUUUGGCACUAUGGGGCUCCUUCUAAGGUUGUAGCCUUUGCGUGGCUUGCAGGUAGGAACAAGGUGCUCAUAAUAGACAAUCUGCAAAACAGAGCUAUGUUGAUUCCUGAUUGUUUGUAUGAUAUGCAUGGGGGACGUAGAGUCAAUGAACCACUUGUUCAUUCAUUGCGCGUUUGCUCGUGUUCUUUGGGGAAGUUUUCUUGCUCUUUUCCAUGUCUUGUGGGUGAUGUAGAGAUCCAUCAACGAUCUUGUCCUUAUCUGGCAUAGGGGAGCAUAUGGAAGGAAAGAUGAGGUGGCAUGGAGACUGGUCUUAUUGGCAAUCUUAUGGGCAAUAUGGGGGGAGAGGAACAAUCGGCUUUUCCGGAAAGUGAAGUUGGAUGUUUUAGAUUGGGUCAAUUGGAUUGUUGCCUCUAACCUAAGCGCUUGGGUUGAGAUGGUUGGGCCUUUGUUGUAAAAAAAUUUUUGCCAUCUUGGCUCUUAUUAAUAAAGAUUUCAUUUACCUUUCACCAAAAAAAAUUUAAAAAUAAAAAAUAAUUCAUGGUGCAUGUGUACCAUCCAAUCCAUGCAUUUGGUGUGCCCUUCCAAGAUUUUGGGAUGCCCUAAAAAUCAGCCCAAUCCAAUGGUCAGGUAGGCCCUUCACCACUUGAAUUCAUAGGAUCUUAGGCAUUUUUCAUUGUUUUCUAAGUUGUGGCCCACUUGAUGGUUGGAUUGCCUUGAUUGCUGGGACAUGCCAUUUUCAUGGAGGGGCACACUUGUUUGAUAGAUUGGAUUUCAUACACACUCCACAUGGGCCCCAUUUUGGACGUUUUACCAUUAUAACUAUACUAUGGUAAUGUUACCAUGUGUGUGUGUAUCCAACUGGGGCAAAUGGGUUGGGUCACAAUGAUGUGUAGUUGAAAUCCACUCCGACAAUCAGAUCCAUCACAUCACGUUAGAGCCACUGUAAAAAGUCAGGCCAAUCUGUGGUUCAGGUGGGCCGCACCAAGGGUAAUAGUUGGGAGGGAAUCCCCACUCUUGAUUUCACUGUUGCCCACUUGAAUUGUAAAAUGGCCUGAUUUUUGGGCCCUGGGCGUAACCUGGGGUGAAGGAUCUGAUGGUUGGAGUGGAUGUCACAUAACACAUUGGAUCUUGUACAAAAUCAAGAGUGGGUGCUCCCUCUUUACUGUUUUCCUUGGCUAGAGUGGAUAUCACAUACAUGGCAUUGUGGCUCAUCUGAAUCAUGGAUGACCCCAAUUUGUUGGCCUAAUGGUUGGAGUGGAUUUCAUAUACACAUCAUGGUGGUCCACACCACUUUGCACGCACGACUGGUCUCCUGUGGCGCGCUGACACUACUUGUAGGAGACCAUUACUUGCUCUCUCUCUCUCUCUCUCUCUCUCUCUCUCUCUCUCUCUCUCUCUCUCUCUCCACCAACACACGCAUGCCCGCAUGCACACACACACAACUGGUUGGACAAUAAGUUACUGUCUGCCUAGUAGAUAACUUCCAACUUAUCAUGUGUGUUCGACAUCCACCUCACCAUUAGGUUGGCCCCACCAUGAGGAUGGCUUAAUUGGGUGGGAAGGACCCACCAUGUUGUGUAUAUGCCAUCUAGUCCAGUCACAUGAAGCAUCUGUCCCAGAUGAAGGGAUAUCAUGGUCAUCAGGUGGUUUUGACACUCUAGUCAGCCCCAUUUGAAAUCUAUCCUUCAACGAAGAAUUGUUUGUCCAUUGCAUGAUCGCAAAAUGAGCAAUAUGCAAAACAGUGAAGCAAAGGGAGGGAGCAGAUGAGGCGAGGGAUAGAAAAAUGUGCAAUACAUGCACGCACACACAUUUGGAAGAUUAGAUUGGAUGGAUAAAUAAAAAUCAACCUAACACUUUAAUCACAUUUAUGGUGCAUUUGAUGCACUAUUCCAUUGAAUUGCAAUGAUUAGUUUUAUUAAGCAUAAAUAAACACAUUUUGGUUAUUCCCAAUUCAAUUCAUUGGCACAUAUUUUAGUUACAUUUCUCUCAAAUCUUUCUACCCUCCAAUCUCAGGAGAUUCUGUGAAAAGGGAGUUGGGACACUGAU
Molecule: long non-coding RNA, 3847 nt
Organism: Magnolia sinica
Lineage: Eukaryota; Viridiplantae; Streptophyta; Magnoliopsida; Magnoliales; Magnoliaceae
Exons: 2
Source: RefSeq, a predicted model, not a curated record